RNAcentral lists this long non-coding RNA (211 nucleotides) under Elaeis guineensis (African oil palm). RNAcentral's name for it is "long non-coding RNA (EGUI_LNC016166)". Lineage: Eukaryota; Viridiplantae; Streptophyta; Magnoliopsida; Arecales; Arecaceae. The record is from RNAcentral.
UGUAUUAGAAAACCAUCUACGUAUUUACCAUUCUAAUUAACACGAUGAUCUCGGUUUCCAAUAUGAGCGAGUCCAUUCUGUUUCUUAGGUGGAGGACAUGGUGGCGAUCCAUGCAUCCACAGCUCUAUGCCAUGCAAAAGAUGCAAUGUAGAGGAUACUCUACAUGGAUAUAUAUAGACUUGUCAUAAAUAAAUAUAUUUAGAUUGUGGAU